AAAUUGAAGAGUUUGAUCAUGGCUCAGAUUGAACGCUGGCGGCAGGCCUAACACAUGCAAGUCGAACGGUAACAGGAAACAGCUUGCUGUUUCGCUGACGAGUGGCGGACGGGUGAGUAAUGUCUGGGAAACUGCCUGAUGGAGGGGGAUAACUACUGGAAACGGUAGCUAAUACCGCAUAAUGUCGCAAGACCAAAGAGGGGGA
RNAcentral lists this ribosomal RNA (205 nucleotides) under Escherichia coli. RNAcentral describes it as "partial 16S ribosomal RNA". It matches the Rfam family "Bacterial small subunit ribosomal RNA", at positions 1 to 213 of the family's 1533-position model. Lineage: Bacteria; Pseudomonadati; Pseudomonadota; Gammaproteobacteria; Enterobacterales; Enterobacteriaceae. RNAcentral also lists the same sequence under 1 other name. The record is from RNAcentral.